UACAGAGGGGGCAAGCGUUAUUCGGAAUUAUUGGGCGUAAAGGGCGCGUAGGCGGCCUGGCAAGUGGAAGGUGAAAUCCCUCGGCUUAACCGAGGAACUGCCCUCCAAACUGCUUGGCUUGAGACCGGGAGAGGUGAGUGGAAUUCCCAGUGUAGCGGUGAAAUGCGUAGAUAUUGGGAGGAACACCAGUGGCGAAGGCGGCUCACUGGACCGGUACUAACGCUGAGGCGCGAAAGCGUGGGGAGCAAACGGG
This 253-nucleotide ribosomal RNA is filed under the name uncultured bacterium. RNAcentral's name for it is "partial 16S ribosomal RNA". It matches the Rfam family "Bacterial small subunit ribosomal RNA", at positions 524 to 776 of the family's 1533-position model. The record is from RNAcentral.